GUCUAUGGCCGUACCACCCUGAACAUGCCCGAUCUUGGCUGAUCUCAGAUGCUAAGCAGGGUCGGGCCUGGCUAGUACUUGGAUGGGAGAAAAGAUGGGCAAAAAUAUAUAAAUAUAGACA
Molecule: ribosomal RNA, 121 nt
Filed under: Erinaceus europaeus (western European hedgehog)
Lineage: Eukaryota; Metazoa; Chordata; Mammalia; Eulipotyphla; Erinaceidae
Source: RNAcentral